UUUCAGUGAAGCCCUCUCACAUGCUGGUGCUUACGGAAAUAAAACAUGUUUUUCAGGGCUAUGCUGCAGGAGGAGAGCCGGCCUCCGUGGCGGGGCUGGAGCUCAGCAGACUGCAUCCUGUGAAGCUGUGAGGGCACCCCAGUCUGUCCUUAGCCAAGAAAUUAUUAUUGCUGUAGUUGUCAGUAUUGUGUUGCUAUUAACCUGUCAGCAUUAUAUGAAAGAAAGACGAGGCUGCAGCUACUUUUUCUGAGGAGACCAGUGUGAGCAAUGAGAAUGUAUACUGGAUCAGACACAAGUGAUGACUGCAUGAAUCCUGAUGGACCCCGGUGUGAGAAAAUCUGCAGAAACAAAUGUGAAAAGCCCAUAGAGACACUGAAAUCCUGUCCCUGUUAAGGUCUUUUCCUUCAUCUGAUUUUUUUUUUAAAUUUUUGUGAUGUAUCGGAUACUUGUAAGGCAUGGCAGAUUUGCACUUUUGGAAGUUAAGAUCGUGCCCUCAGAAACAGGAUCAGCCCCCAAAGCAGCAGUGAGCAUCUCUCUGUGUGUCUGUCACCAUCUCCUUGGCAAGAGCACCAAAAUGAGCAGCACCAAGAAUUAGGGGCUAGUUCAGCCACAGGUAGUGCUGGUGACAUUUUGUGUGGUAUUCACUUGUCUGUUGGGAAAUGGGCUGUGACUGUUCUAUGUUGGCUGCAGAGUUUGCCUAUACAUGCUGUAGCCAGCUAGAGCAGGCCAG
Long non-coding RNA from Egretta garzetta (little egret), 730 nucleotides. RefSeq lists it as uncharacterized. NCBI's taxonomy places the organism in Eukaryota, Metazoa, Chordata, Aves, Pelecaniformes, Ardeidae. The record is from RefSeq and is a predicted model, not a curated record. The transcript has 4 exons.